CCUACGGGGGCAGCAGUGGGGAAUAUUGCACAAUGGGCGCAAGCCUGAUGCAGCCAUGCCGCGUGUGUGAAGAAGGCCUUCGGGUUGUAAAGCACUUUCAGCGAGGAGGAAGGCGGUGAGGUUAAUAACCUCAUCGAUUGACGUUACCCGCAGAAGAAGCACCGGCUAACUCCGUGCCAGCAGCCGCGGUAAUACGGAGGGUGCAAGCGUUAAUCGGAAUUACUGGGCGUAAAGCGCACGCAGGUGGUCUGUCAAGUCGGAUGUGAAAUCCCCGGGCUCAACCUGGGAACUGCAUUCGAAACUGGCAGGCUAGAGUCUUGUAGAGGGGGGUAGAAUUCCAGGUGUAGCGGUGAAAUGCGUAGAGAUCUGGAGGAAUACCGGUAGCGAAGGCGGCCCCCUGGACAAAGACUGACGCUCAGGUGCGAAAGCGUGGGGAGCAAACAGGAUUAGAUACCCGAGUAGUC
RNAcentral lists this ribosomal RNA (464 nucleotides) under uncultured Klebsiella sp. RNAcentral's name for it is "bacterial SSU rRNA". It matches the Rfam family "Bacterial small subunit ribosomal RNA", at positions 338 to 795 of the family's 1533-position model. The record is from RNAcentral. Lineage: Bacteria; Pseudomonadati; Pseudomonadota; Gammaproteobacteria; Enterobacterales; Enterobacteriaceae.